Molecule: small RNA, 181 nt
Filed under: Chrysemys picta bellii (western painted turtle)
Lineage: Eukaryota; Metazoa; Chordata; Testudines; Emydidae
Description: TUC338 (ENSCPBG00000016698.1)
Source: RNAcentral
UUGACAUAUCUACAGACUGAAAGUCUCUAUUUCUUCACAGGACAGAUACAACACUGUUGGUGAAUGUGCAAACUUCCCCACACUGCUCUAACAAUGUGCCUCAAGACUGACAUGAAGAGAUCACCUCUAUAAGAGAGAAGGUACUCUAUUUAAGUGUCCGUUGAGUCAGUUGCUGCCCUUU